UUCGGUGUGAGUAGAGUGGCGGACGGGUGAGUAACGCGUGGGAAUCUACCUAGUAGUGGAGGAUAACUCGGGGAAACUCGAGCUAAUACUGCAUACGCCCUACGGGGGAAAGCGGGGGAUCUUCGGACCUCGUGCUAUUGGAUGAGCCCGCGUUAGAUUAGCUUGUUGGUGAGGUAAUGGCUCACCAAGGCGACGAUCUAUAGCUGGUCUGAGAGGAUGAUCAGCCACAUUGGGACUGAGACACGGCCCAAACUCCUACGGGAGGCAGCAGUGGGGAAUAUUGCGCAAUGGGCGAAAGCCUGACGCAGCCAUGCCGCGUGUGUGAAGAAGGCCUUCGGGUUGUAAAGCACUUUCAAUAGGGAGGAAAGGUUGUAGUUUAAUACGCUGCAACUGUGACGUUACCUAUAGAAGAAGGACCGGCUAACUCCGUGCCAGCAGCCGCGGUAAUACGGAGGGUCCGAGCGUUAAUCGGAAUUACUGGGCGUAAAGCGCGCGUAGGCGGCUUUGUUAGUCAGAUGUGAAAGCCCUGGGCUCAACCUAGGAACUGCAUUUGAUACUGCGAAGCUAGAGUAUGGUAGAGGAUAGUGGAAUUCCAGGUGUAGCGGUGAAAUGCGUAGAUAUCUGGAGGAACAUCAGUGGCGAAGGCGACUGUCUGGACCAAUACUGACGCUGAGGUGCGAAAGCGUGGGGAGCAAACAGGAUUAGAUACCCUGGUAGUCCACGCCGUAAACGAUGUCUACUAGCCGUUGGGGAACUUGAUUCUUUAGUGGCGCAGCUAACGCAC
RNAcentral lists this ribosomal RNA (784 nucleotides) under Spongiibacter sp. Its description in RNAcentral is "bacterial SSU rRNA". It matches the Rfam family "Bacterial small subunit ribosomal RNA", at positions 80 to 860 of the family's 1533-position model. Lineage: Bacteria; Pseudomonadati; Pseudomonadota; Gammaproteobacteria; Cellvibrionales; Spongiibacteraceae. The record is from RNAcentral.